RNAcentral lists this ribosomal RNA (406 nucleotides) under uncultured bacterium. RNAcentral describes it as "partial 16S ribosomal RNA". It matches the Rfam family "Bacterial small subunit ribosomal RNA", at positions 30 to 526 of the family's 1533-position model. The record is from RNAcentral.
AUUGAACGCUGGCGGCAGGCCUAACACAUGCAAGUCGAACGAGUGGCGGACGGGUGAGUAAUGUCUGGGAAACUGCCUGAUGGAGGGGGAUAACUAAUGGAAACGGUAGCUAAUACCGCAUACCAUCAGAUGUGCCCAGAUGGGGUUAGCUUGUUGUAGGGGUAACGGCUCACCAAGGCGACGAUCCCUAGCUGGUCUGAGAGGAUGACCACGCCAACCGGAACUGAGACACGGUCCAGACGCCUACGGGAGGAAGCAGUGGGGAAUAUUGCACAAUGGGCGCAAGCCUGAUUCAGCCAUGCCGCGUGUAUGAAGAAGGCCUUCGGGUUGUAAAGUACUUUCAGCGGGGAGGCGUUACCCGCAGAAGAAGCACCGGCUAACUCCGUGCCAGCAGCCGCGGUAAUUC